CCCAGUAGCGGCGAGCGAACGGGGAGGAGCCCAGAGCCUGAAUCAGUGUGUGUGUUAGUGGAAGCGUCUGGAAAGGCGCGCGAUACAGGGUGACAGCCCCGUACACAAAAAUGCACAUGCUGUGAGCUCGAUGAGUAGGGCGGGACACGUGGUAUCCUGUCUGAAUAUGGGGGGACCAUCCUCCAAGGCUAAAUACUCCUGACUGACCGAUAGUGAACCAGUACCGUGAGGGAAAGGCGAAAAGAACCCCGGCGAGGGGAGUGAAAAAGAACCUGAAACCGUGUACGUACAAGCAGUGGGAGCCUCUUUAUGGGGUGACUGCGUACCUUUUGUAUAAUGGGUCAGCGACUUAUAUUCUGUAGCAAGGUUAACCGAAUAGGGGAGCCGAAGGGAAACCGAGUCUUAACUGGGCGUUAAGUUGCAGGGUAUAGACCCGAAACCCGGUGAUCUAGCCAUGGGCAGGUUGAAGGUUGGGUAACACUAACUGGAGGACCGAACCGACUAAUGUUGAAAAAUUAGCGGAUGACUUGUGGCUGGGGGUGAAAGGCCAAUCAAACCGGGAGAUAGCUGGUUCUCCCCGAAAGCUAUUUAGGUAGCGCCUCGUGAAUUCAUCUCCGGGGGUAGAGCACUGUUUCGGCAAGGGGGUCAUCCCGACUUACCAACCCGAUGCAAACUGCGAAUACCGGAGAAUGUUAUCACGGGAGACACACGGCGGGUGCUAACGUCCGUCGUGAAGAGGGAAACAACCCAGACCGCCAGCUAAGGUCCCAAAGUCAUGGUUAAGUGGGAAACGAUGUGGGAAGGCCCAGACAGCCAGGAUGUUGGCUUAGAAGCAGCCAUCAUUUAAAGAAAGCGUAAUAGCUCACUGGUCGAGUCGGCCUGCGCGGAAGAUGUAACGGG
This 900-nucleotide ribosomal RNA is filed under the name Escherichia coli. RNAcentral describes it as "partial 23S ribosomal RNA". It matches the Rfam family "Bacterial large subunit ribosomal RNA", at positions 239 to 1179 of the family's 2925-position model. Lineage: Bacteria; Pseudomonadati; Pseudomonadota; Gammaproteobacteria; Enterobacterales; Enterobacteriaceae. The record is from RNAcentral.